CGGACGGGUGAGUAACGCGUGGGUAACCUACCCUGUACACACGGAUAACAUACCGAAAGGUAUGCUAAUACGGGAUAAUAUAUUUGAGAGGCAUCUCUUGAAUAUCAAAGGUGAGCCAGUACAGGAUGGACCCGCGUCUGAUUAGCUAGUUGGUAAGGUAACGGCUCACCAAGGCGACGAUCAGUAGCCGACCUGAGAGGGUGAUCGGCCACAUUGGAACUGAGACACGGUCCAA
RNAcentral lists this ribosomal RNA (235 nucleotides) under uncultured bacterium. RNAcentral describes it as "partial 16S ribosomal RNA". It matches the Rfam family "Bacterial small subunit ribosomal RNA", at positions 99 to 334 of the family's 1533-position model. The record is from RNAcentral.